GUCGACGGAACGAUACUAGCUUGCUAGUAGGCGUCGAGUGGCGGACGGGUGAGUAACGCGUAGGAAUCUGCCUGAUAGUGGGGGGUAGCCCGGAGAAAUUCGGAUUAAUACCGCAUAAUCUAUUCGUAGUAAAGUGGGGGACUUUCGAGCCUCACGCUAUCAGAUGAGCCUGCGUAAGAUUAGCUUGUUGGUAGGGUAAAAGCCUACCAAGGCGACGAUCUUUAGCUGGUCUGAGAGGAUGAUCAGCCACAUCGGGGCUGAGACACGGCCCGAACUCCUACGGGAGGCAGCAGUGGGGAAUAUUGGACAAUGGGGGCAACCCUGAUCCAGCAAUACCGCGUGUGUGAAGAAGGCCUGAGGGUUGUAAAGCACUUUCAAUUGUGAAGAAAAGUUAACGGUUAAUAACCGUUAGCCUUGACGUUAACUUUAGAAGAAGCACCGGCUAACUCCGUGCCAGCAGCCGCGGUAAUACGGAGGGUGCAAGCGUUAAUCGGAAUUACUGGGCGUAAAGCGUGCGUAGGCGGUUUAUUAAGUCAGAUGUGAAAGCCCCGGGCUUAACCUGGGAACUGCAUUUGAAACUGGUAAACUAGAGUAUGGUAGAGGAAAGUGGAAUUUCUGGUGUAGCGGUGAAAUGCGUAGAUAUCAGAAGGAACAUCAAUGGCGAAGGCAGCUUUCUGGACCAAUACUGACGCUGAGGUACGAAAGCGUGGGUAGCAAACAGGAUUAGAUACCCUGGUAGUCCACGCCGUAAACGAUGAUAACUAGCCGUUGGGGGGGAUUUACCCUUUAGUGGCGAAGCUAACGCGUUAAGUUAUCCGCCUGGGGAGUACGGCCGCAAGGUUAAAACUCAAAGGAAUUGACGGGGACCCGCACAAGCGGUGGAGCAUGUGGGUUUAAUUCGAUGCAACGCGAAGAACCUUACCUGGUCUUGACAUCCUGCGAACUUUCUAGAAAAUAGAUUGGUGCCUUCGGGAACGCAGUGACAGGUGCUGCAUGGCUGUCGUCAGCUCGUGUCCUGGAAAUGUUGGGGUUAAGUCCCCGUAA
Molecule: ribosomal RNA, 1044 nt
Filed under: uncultured marine bacterium
Lineage: Bacteria
Description: bacterial SSU rRNA
Rfam family: Bacterial small subunit ribosomal RNA
Source: RNAcentral